RNAcentral lists this ribosomal RNA (205 nucleotides) under uncultured bacterium. Its description in RNAcentral is "partial 16S ribosomal RNA". It matches the Rfam family "Bacterial small subunit ribosomal RNA", at positions 524 to 728 of the family's 1533-position model. The record is from RNAcentral.
UACGUAGGGUGCAAGCGUUAAUCGGAAUUACUGGGCGUAAAGCGUGCGCAGGCGGUUCGGAAAGAAAGAUGUGAAAUCCCAGAGCUUAACUUUGGAACUGCAUUUUUAACUACCGAGCUAGAGUGUGUCAGAGGGAGGUGGAAUUCCGCGUGUAGCAGUGAAAUGCGUAGAUAUGCGGAGGAACACCGAUGGCGAAGGCAGCCUC